RNAcentral lists this ribosomal RNA (263 nucleotides) under uncultured bacterium. RNAcentral describes it as "partial 16S ribosomal RNA". It matches the Rfam family "Bacterial small subunit ribosomal RNA", at positions 524 to 777 of the family's 1533-position model. The record is from RNAcentral.
UACGUAGGGUGCGAGCGUUAAUCGGAAUUACUGGGCGUAAAGCGUGCGCAGGCGGUUUGUUAAGUCUGAUGUGAAAGCCCCGGGCUCAACCUGGGAACUGCAAUCCGUGUCGACUGCAUAGCUAGAGUACGGUAGAGGGGGAUGGAAUUCCGCGUGUAGGCAGUGAAAUGCGUAGAUAUCAAGGAGGAAUACCGGUGGCGAAAGCGACUCGUCUGGAACGGCAACUGACGCUGAGGCACGGAAAGCGUGGGGAGCAAACAAGA